Molecule: long non-coding RNA, 1398 nt
Filed under: Nicotiana tabacum (common tobacco)
Lineage: Eukaryota; Viridiplantae; Streptophyta; Magnoliopsida; Solanales; Solanaceae
Description: long non-coding RNA (NTAB_LNC017429)
Source: RNAcentral
CCCCUUCCAUGGUGCAACAAGCACUAGAUCAUGGAGAAAGCACUUACAUGGUGGUAUAUACACUUGCUUGGUGGGAGGAACAUUUGCACCAUUGUGGAAGGUGCACUAGGCUGCAUUGUUGCUUAGUGUUCAACACAAUACACGGAUUGGAAAACAUCUGUUACAAACACGGAUUAUAUCACGUUAAUAUUCACUAUUAACAAAUAAAUUUGGUCCAAAAAAUUAAUCAAUCGAUCGAUCAUUUGACCAAAUCCGAAUCCAAAUCCCAUUUCCCAUUCACUCUAAUUUUAAGACUAUUUCAUCUUAAACAAAAACUCAACACAAAUAUCUAAACUGAACAUACAUUACGGUAAAUAAAAGGAAAUUAAAGAAGAAACUAAUGAAGAUUAAUACUGUUAAAGUUCUAAUUGGUUUUUGACUAUAAUUAACGAUUGAGAACUGUUUAGUUGGCACUACACUGAUCUUAAAGAAGUCUUUCGGAAGUGGGGUCAGGGCUUUCCAUAAAAGUUCACAUGUUAAACACUACUAAUAAUCACAUGCCUAUAAUUAGUAGUCGCUACACUGAUAUAAUGCUGCAAUUAGUGAACCAAAUCCAGCCACGUUUUCAAAUUGGUGAAUUGUCAAAAAAAAGGGCAAAGAAAAAUCAAAAUGUUUCCACGCGGGAUUGCUACACAAUUAGCCGGUCAAAUUCAAUAUUUACUUUAUAUAUAUAUAUAUAUAUAUAUAUAUUAAGCACGUUUAGGCAAGAAAAACAGAGAAUAUUCUAUUGUAUUAAAUAUUCAUGUGUGUUACAAAAUGACAAGGGUCCCCUUUAUAUAGGAGAGAGAAUUCCAACAUAGUACAUGUCUAAUAACAACGAGGAAAUGCUAUUGGUACAGCUGUAUAAUGACUCAAUACGUAUUUAUACUAUCUUUGCAGACCUGGUCAACUCUAACCACGUGUCCCUUGGGAGUUUUUCCGCCUUUCCAUGACGAUCAUCGAUUUGUACCGCUCAGAGAUUGACCACAGUGAACCUUCGAUAUGCUCCCUUGAGGGACGCACCUCGGGGUCAUGUAGGAUUGCAUAUAGGUGUUCGUAACACGCAGCGGAAGACAAUAACAAUCCUGGGAAGAUCUUUUCAUGUUUAAAAUUUAUUUACAUGCCAAAAAUCGGAUCUAAGACGUACCUGGUAAAAAAGUCUCGUUUCAAAAUUUCUUCGAUAGUGCGAAGACUCUAUGCAUAUCCACACCGAGGCUGAUCCUUGCUAUCAACUCUUUGAUCAAUGAAACCCGCAAACAAAUUGAAUAAAAAACUUACGCUGAAUUUUUUCUCAAAAACUUCAGCACAACAGUAAUAGGACAAGAAAAUAAUUUUCCUUGUCAAAAUAUCUGUCACGAUUGUGCGGUUCGUGGAUGCAUU